GCUGGAAUUGCUGUAAUGGCAGGUCAGCAUACUGCCGUGAAUACGUUCCCGGGCCUUGUACACACCGCCCGUCACACCAUGAGAGUUGGAAAUACCCGAAGCCUGUGAGCUAACUUUUAGAGGCAGCAGUCGAAGGUAGAGCCAAUGAUUGGGGUGAAGUCGUAACAAGGUAUC
Molecule: ribosomal RNA, 174 nt
Filed under: uncultured bacterium
Lineage: Bacteria
Description: partial 16S ribosomal RNA
Rfam family: Bacterial small subunit ribosomal RNA
Source: RNAcentral